UACAGAGGGUGCAAGCGUUGUUCGGAAUUAUUGGGCGUAAAGCGCGUGUAGGCGGCUUAGCAAGUCGGGCGUGAAAGCCCUCGGCUCAACCGAGGAAGUGCACCCGAAACUGCUGAGCUUGAGUGCCGGAGAGGAUGGCGGAAUUCCCCAAGUAGAGGUGAAAUGCGUAGAUAUCAGGAGGAACACCGGUGGCGAAGGCGUCCCUCUGGCCGGAUACUGACGCUGAGACGCGAAAGCGUGGGGAGCAAACAGG
This 253-nucleotide ribosomal RNA is filed under the name uncultured prokaryote. RNAcentral's name for it is "partial 16S ribosomal RNA". It matches the Rfam family "Bacterial small subunit ribosomal RNA", at positions 524 to 776 of the family's 1533-position model. The record is from RNAcentral.